This 496-nucleotide ribosomal RNA is filed under the name uncultured bacterium. RNAcentral describes it as "partial 16S ribosomal RNA". It matches the Rfam family "Bacterial small subunit ribosomal RNA", at positions 28 to 506 of the family's 1533-position model. The record is from RNAcentral.
GAUGAACGCUGGCGGCGUGCCUAAUACAUGCAAGUCGAGCGAACGGACGAGAAGCUUGCUUCUCUGAUGUUAGCGGCGGACGGGUGAGUAACACGUGGAUAACCUACCUAUAAGACUGGGAUAACUUCGGGAAACCGGAGCUAAUACCGGAUAAUAUUUUGAACCGCAUGGUUCAAAAGUGAAAGACGGUCUUGCUGUCACUUAUAGAUGGAUCCGCGCUGCAUUAGCUAGUUGGUAAGGUAACGGCUUACCAAGGCAACGAUGCAUAGCCGACCUGAGAGGUGAACCGCCCACCCUGAACCUGAACAACGGUCCGGCCCCCUAGGGGAGGAAGCGGUAGGGAAUCUUCCGCAAGGGGGAAAAGCCUGACGAAGAAACGCGGGGUGAGUGAGAAAGGCCUUCGGUUCGAAAACCUCUGUUAUUGGGGAAAAACAUAUGGGUAAGUACCGGUGACCAUCUUGAGGGUACCAAACAAGAAAGCCACGGCUAAUUACGU